UACGUAGGGAGCAAGCGUUGUCCGGAAUCAUUGGGCGUAAAGCGCGCGUAGGUGGCCCUGUAAGUCCGUUGUGAAAGUCAAAGGCUCAACCUUUGAAAGCCGAUGGAUACUGCAGGGCUAGAGUACGGAAGAGGCGAGUGGAAUUCCUGGUGUAGCAGUGAAAUGCGUAGAUAUCAGGAGGAAUACCGAUGGCGAAGGCAGGUCUCUGGGCUGACACUGACGCUCAUGCACGAAAGCGUGGGGAGCAAACAGG
Molecule: ribosomal RNA, 253 nt
Filed under: uncultured bacterium
Lineage: Bacteria
Description: partial 16S ribosomal RNA
Rfam family: Bacterial small subunit ribosomal RNA
Source: RNAcentral